UCCAAGGUCAACCAAACAAGGGCUAAAAGAAAGAGCUUUAUUGAAUGUCACCCAACAGGGGAGCAAGAGGCCUGCUCAGAUCUGUCUCCCCAGCUGGUCACAAGCAGGGUGUUCAAGGACGUUGGGAGUUGAUGGGUCUGAUGCUGUCUCGGUCUUGAUGAGAUCCAUCUUGGUUUUAGUCUGUGACUGAGGCUCCCAGCCUGUCUGUGUGCCCACCCUGUCUAAGGCCCUGGGUGUGAGACUUCUAGCUCAGCCUAGCUCAGGGUCAUCUGCAGGGCAGACUUGAAGCUGCUUCCCAGGAAAGCGUGGUCUGCCCGCAAAGAUCUUACACCACAGCCAGAUAUGAGGAAGUUAGGGCCUGAGGGGUGGCUGUGGGGUAGAGCACUUACCCAGCCCUGGGUUUGAUUCCAGGACUGAAAAAGGGAAAUAGAAACAUUACUAUUAAAAAAAAAAAAGCCCUGACAGUAGGGCAAGAUCUGAGCUCUGUUCUGACUUUCUUUCUUCUUGGUGCUGGGAACGGAACUCAGGGCCUCACGCGUGCCAGGCUCUAUUCUGGGCUACAUCUGCAGCGCUGAUUUGGGCUUUUUACAGGCAGGAGAAGUAAGGAGCUCCACAGAACCAGAGAAGUGGGAAGUUCAAGGGUUGGUGAGCAUGAAGGAGACCUCGGCUGCCGCGCCCUCCAGGGAGCCUGGGAGACGGCCUCCUCUUCUGAGGUUGCAUUCUGAGUUCCUGGUCCUUGAGAGAUGCUUCUGUGCUGGAAGAGACACCCACUCACAAUCCAGGCCCUCCAGCCAGGACUUGGGGUCAAAGGUGCCGGCAGUCAGCGCCCUCCUGGUCCAUCGUGAGGUAGAGGGAAAUAGCCCAUUACAAAUGAAUUUCUUUGGCACAUUUUGAAUUAGAAAAACAAACCUUCUGCAGACACAGAAGUGGCUUUGAAAGGCUGCCCUCUGGUAAGUUUAAAGGAAGUCUGCGUGGGGACCACAACUGCAGUGGGGGACGGAAACAGCUUCUGUAGCUUCUGCCCACUUUCAACCUGAAAGAUCUUUCCACUGGGGGAGGAGACCUGGGGCAUGCCAUGGCCCAGACACACUGCCACAGGGGCCGGUACCUGGGAGGCCUCCUCUGCCCGGCAAGACGGCGGCCUCCCUCAAGGGGUAAGAUGGCUAUCUUCUUUUCUCUGUUAAUCGCUCUUGUUUCCCUAUUAAUCCCUGUUGUCAGUUUUUCAUGGAUUAAAUUAAGAACACUUCAAUGGGAAAGGAACAAGUUUAAAACUUACCUACGACAAGCAGCACCUUCUUGCUGGGCCUCACAUGGUGGAGGGGGCAACAAAGAUUCUGGGGUCCAUUUUGUAAGGUCACUAAUCCCAUCAUGAGGACCCACCCCAACCCUAAUCACCCCUCCCUCAUCCUUGCACCCCCAAGACUUAGGAGGGUUAGGACUUCAACAUGAGAAUAAACCAAGUGUUCCCUCUGUCUCCACAGGCUUUAACUUUGCCAAGAUCUUGAGCUGGAGAGGAGUUUAUUAAAUUGGUGGAGUCAGCUGGAAACCUGGUCUCACCUUUGAGAUCAAACCCCGAGCUCAUUCCACUGAGCACCUUGGGCUCUAAGGGCACAGAUGAGGAACCAGGCAGAGGGCCCUCCCCUGGGCUCUGUCCCCUCCAGUGGUCCUUGGUGGCCUGGAAGGCCUUCCACCCUGAGGCAGUGCUUAAGGGCUGGGCCUCUCAGUGGGUCUGUGUUGGCUCUUCCUUACAGACAGGAGGAGCUGCCCGCCCCAGCAGGUCUCCCUGUUUAGGACAAUCAGUGUUGGUAAAGGAGCCCUUGGGAUGUGCCUGCUCCCCUCUCCCCAGGCGUGCAAGGACCUUCUGAAUGACCAGGCCAAGUCCUGGAGACCUCCUAGACUGCGGUGGAUGCCUGAACGGCAUCAGGGGCCAGGUACAAAGGAGGGCUCUGUGCUGACCUGGUGGCAGGCAGUGUAGCGGCCCACGUGGCUCUGGAUGGUCUCCACACAGAAGUACAAGUGUCCAUUUGACGAGGGAGGUGGCACGUCACUGUGAGGGCUGCUUUCUGGACUGUGACUCACCUGAAGCUCACACAUUCGCAUCCACCCCUGCAGCUGGGAACCAGAGCCUGUUGCUCUGAUGGCUAGUUUCAACCUGAGAAAAACCAGUGAGAGGCUGUUGUGAAAAGGAGAUUCUGAAUGUCCUCUGAGGCAAGACCUUUUGGCCAAGCUAACAAGUAACUGGGCUCCAGCUGCUGAGAACACUGGGCCUGUGCACCUGCAGAGGCCACGGGGAGAGGUCAGGUCAGGCAGCUGGCUCUUGGGGAAGGUCUGGGAACGUGCCAGCUAGAAACCAAGAGGCCCAGGCACGGCUCGCGCUUCCUGGGGAGGGAUCCACCUGAAAGCUGUGGGGAACUGCUUCUUGGUGCUGACACCAAGUCGUGUGUGAGACUAAUGGGUGCCUGUUGGGAUGGAAAAAAGAAGGUUCUAGACCCAUCUUCACCUGGACCAGCCUUGGGCUCUGGAGCAAGUCAUUGGGUCUGAAAGUACAGUGACAGCCUUGACCCUGCCCUGAAGGCGUCAUGGUGUGCACAUGGGGCAAAGUCACCGCUGUGUUCAUAGAGUAUACCAGAAAUAGGGACCACUGUUCUCCUGCACCCAGAUCCACUGACCUGCCUCGACUGUCCUUCACUGCCACAUUGAGCCAGUCACUGAGGAUGCACUCCACACUGGGACCCUCUUGCACAUAGUGGCUGGACAAACCCUGCUGAGACUGCCCACCAGAGGGCCUGCACGUGGCCCCUCUGGGGUCCCCUGGUAUGGCAGCUGGAUUUCAGAGGAAUCUUCUCAGGAGGGGACCUUUAGAGGAUAAGUGCUAAAGGAAAACCAGGAGGAACAGCAAGCUCUUAUCCUGCCUACGGAGGGCCACCUGCAGCACUCUCCUGGACCCGUUGACUGAGGUGGUCACCAUCGUUCAGAUUCAGAAGCAGGAGACCUGGACUCCCCAUCUCGAUGAGAGGAGCAGCUAAGAAUUUGGAGCCAGCGUCGCAGCUGCCACAGCAGCGGGAGCCUCCCGCAGGCGCUGCCUAGUCCAGGUCAGGCCUCUCGCUGUCCUGCUGCUCUGGCCCACUCUGGAGGGACGCUCCUCUGACAUCAGCUAAUUCCUGGGGACAUUUACCUGCCAAACAACCAGCCGUCCGUCCUCCCUGGCCGCAGCCCCUCUGCCUGUUGGGCUUUCGCACUCCAGUCCAGCCACGCCCACAGGAGGCUGCCCCUGGCCCAGGCGGCCAAUCCUGUGCGGCCCCGCCUGCCAAGCCCCGUUGCUGGGGCUCUUCUCCUUGUGACGGCCUUGUCCGCUUGCCUGUCUCACCACUCCUGAUCAAGACAAGCCCCGGAACCCUGAGGCGACUCCACCAGAGUGCUGUUUCUAGGUGGACACUGAAUCUGUCCCGUCCUGCAGCUGCCUGGGCCAGUCCUGGGCCAGUCCUCCCUGGUCUCCCCUCCCUCAGGUGUGGAUGUUGUUCUGUCCAGUCACGUAUAGUCCCAGGCCUCUCGCCUAGAACAGGUGACCAUGUGGUUCACCCACAAACUCCUCCUGCUCUGAGGCUCGGCUCCAGGGCCCUCCUAUGGAAGGCUGCCACCUCUCAGGGCAGCUCAGAUGAUCCAUGGCUGCGGGGCCAGACCUCCCUAUGACACUCUCCACGUCACCUCGUUGUCUACCGUUUACGAAUAAUUCACAGGCGUUUGUCCCCCAGAGGCCAUGGAUCCUUUCUGGGAAGAUACCAGUUUUUCCUGCUUAUUUUCCUGAAAUGGAUGCCUGGCUUUCAGCAGGAGAGAGACCUGUGGAGUUCAAUAGAUUAGAGAGAGGAAAGCAAUGUUGUGUGCAGGCGGGAGCUUUUCACACAACACACCCGGGUAUACAGACACAUGUCCAUCUGUGCAGCAUGUACAUGUACGUGCAUAGGAUGUGUGUGGUGUGUGUACAUAUAUGUGCAUGUGUGCGGAUGUGUCUAUGUGUAUGUACAUGUUGGCAUAGAGCUAUGUGCCCACGAACACAUGGGAUUGUAUCUCACAGGCACAGUUUCACAAACCAAAAGACAGACAAAAACCCCGUCUGAAUUUCCCACCCUUGGUCCUUGUUACAGCACCACCUCUACUUUUAGCCUGGCUUGUUGAGACUUCUCAGUAGCUGGGAGGAUAUUUGCUUUGACCAACAAAUAGAACAAGAACAUUUAGUGGCCUGUAUGCUAUGAUUAACAUCAAUUUUAUAUAAUUUGGAUAACUUAGGUGCAUUUCCCAGCUUGUAGUUAAGACUUUAAGGUUCAUGCAAAACUGCUCUUAGAUCCAAGAGCAGAUAAAGACAGAAGCACUUAGAUGCUAGUCAAAGGCAGCAUUUUGUGCCUGUGGUACCCAUGUGAAGACCGAUUACAACUUCCAAACUGAAUUAUAUGAUCAUUUGCUGUUGCAAUUGAUUUUUUAUUUCAGUGCUAGGGAUUGAAACCUGGGCCUUCUGUAUGCUACACAAAUGCUCUACCACUGGGCUAUAUCACCAGCAUUAGCUACAGAAAUCUAGAUCAGAAAUAAGCUUCUUGCCAGACUUCUAAUGCAGUGAUCCUUGACUUUUAGCUUGCAAUAUUAUCGCUCAGGUCCUGGCCUUUUGAUUUCACUCCUCAUCUUUGUAUGAACCCCAGUCUUUUUCUGACAGCUUUCAGAUAUCCAUAGAAAUCUGAGGGCUUGGCAGGUGUGACAUACAGGCUGUAAUCCCAGUGACUUGGGAGUCUGAGGCAGGAGGAUUAUAAUUCAAGAUCCCCUUCUGCAACCCAGUGAGACCCUGUCUCAGAAAACAAAAAAGGCUGGGGUAGAGGGCCCUAUCACUUCCUCCCUACCACCCCUGGCAAAUAGAUCUGAAAGUUCUGCUGUGAUUAUAUUCAAAAUUCAUUACUGAGGACUUGGGGCACCUGUUCAAGCUAUAAACUUACAUGUUUCAGUUCAGGGAGACUUUGUUAAUUUUCUAUCUAAGAUCAUGUUUUUUUUUUUUCUUUCUGUUGUUUCUGGAAACUCUCACUUAUCGGUUUUGGAUCCUUUUGGAUUGACCCUCCAAGUUUGAAGUCUAUUCUAUAUUUUUCAUCACUUCUUUGUGUUGUAUACGUUAACAGAUAUUUGAGUGCAGAAUAAAUUUCAGCACUGUGCUCUGACCGUCACAUACAGGGUGAUGAGAUUUUUCAAGUCUCUGUGCUCACUGGCCAUUUCACUAUCUUCUUUGGUGAGGUAUCCGUUCAAGUCUUUUGUCCAUCUUUUCUGGAGCUGUUUUUUUUAUGACUGAGUUGCAGUUCUUUAAUGUUCUACAUACAAGCCCUUUGUCAGGUAUAGGUUUGGUGAACACUUUCUCACAUAUUAGAUUCUAAUGAUGAAAAGAAGCUUUAAUGUUGCUAAAGGCUAGUAGUUCACCCUUUUUUCCAUUUAUGGUUAUGCUGUCUCUGCUACAGAAGCUGCAUAUGUGUUCUCCCACAUUUCCUUGAAGAAACUGUGAUUUGGGGCCUCUUUCUUGACUCUUUUCCCCUCUGGUUAUGGUUUACAUUUUCCUGCGUCUUCUAUAUUUAGAAACUUUUCAUGCUGGUUAUUGUAAGUGCUACAUUGUUCAGGGAGAAUGGAUUCUGCUGUCUUUCUCUAGGAGUAUUGGAGGCUCCCCGGCAAGUACACAGCAAUUAAUAUGCAGGCAGCUCAGCGGGUUCCUGCGAAGGUUUGGUUUCAGGUUUUGGUGGGGUGGGUGGGCAGAGCCCCUGCUCCUGGGUACAGCUAGUGGCCUUGUUGUGCUCCCUCCAGAGCCCAGGGUCCCAGCACUGGUCUGCUUGCUCGUGGCAGCUGGGACUCCCCGUCUGGUGCUGUGUGGUCUCUGUCCAUCUGUGCACAGGCACCCCCACAGCUGCUCUCCGCCAGACCUUCGGGAGCCCACUGCGCGGCACAUCUGGCUCCACCCACAGAGGACCAGCCUGGGGAUUUCUGGACUGUCUGCUCUGUGCAGCUCUGCCCUUUCCUGACCCUGCCCCGCCAACCUCGUGACCACCGCAGCCCGAGCUGUGCAGGGCCACUUCUUCUUUUUAGGGUUCCGCUUUCCGUCAGCCUUGUUUGGAAAGUGGCCCCAGAUGGACAUUGGUGCAGACGCAGAGUCCGUGCUGUGUCUGGUCCUCUCAGGGCCUCAGCCCUGCAAGACGCCUGCUGCUGAAAAUGUUUGCUGUGUGUCUUUUGCUCAGUUUUAUGGGCAUUUUUUAACAACCUCCGAAGUCGGGAGACAGACCUUGCUGGCUAGGCCAAGUGGGCCUCACAUGUCCUCCCUGCACCCCGCCUGCCUCCUAUAGCAUUAGCCUCUCUGUCCACACUGGCAUCCCCAGCGCUACCGUCCCUCCAUUGUUAGUCUCUUUACAUCAGUUCCGGGAGGCACUGCCCACAGCUCCGAGCUCUGAGGAUCCCCACGGCAGGCGGCAGGCGACUGGGCCACCCAGCUUUCAUUCACUGCACCCCGCCGCGGAGAUUGGAAUGUCCCUCUGUUCCUUUGUAUUUGUGUAAAUUUGUAGUUGGACACAGAGGCUUACUGAGGCUGAGGUUUGGCUUCUGUAGCAAAACCACCUCACAGGCAGUUUUCCAUCAAGAAGAACGUGCCAUCUUGUGCCUUUGUGUGAGGUGCUGCAGUCUAUGAUGCUCAAUGACAGUCCCUUGGGGUUGAAAAAUAGCAGGAUUCUGUCAUUCUUCCUUACUUGCUCAAAAUUUUCUAUGUAGUAACACCUUCUGUCUACACUGCUGGGACCUGAAUAGUGACGAUUUGAAUAAGAAAGGCACGUUAAGGUUCUCCAUUCUUUCCCUGUGUUCUCAGUUUUGAAUAGUUGAUUCCCUAGCAUCUCUUCAGGGUGGCCAGACACAUGUAUAUGUGAGUGCGUGUGUGAGAGUGUAUGUGGUGUGUUUGUGUGUGUGUGUGUGUAUGUGUAGUGUGUGUGGUGUUUGUGUGUAUGUGUGUGUGAGUGUGGAGUGUGUGUAAGCAUGCGUGUGUGAGUAUAGGUAUAGGUGGUGUGUAUGUGUGUAGGUGUGUGUGGUGUGUGUGAGUAUAUGUGUGUAAGUGUGUGUGUUUCCUGUUAUCUGGGGGCUAUUUCAAUCUGAUGCAGUUAACAUCCUCACUGAUGCUCAAUUGUCCUAUUUUGGACCUUGGAAAAUCUACCAUUUGAUAUUUGUGUCCUAUUAGCAUCACCUGGUAGUCUUUAAUAGCUUCGUUGCUCUCUGAUAAAAUGUUCUAGAUUCAUUUUCUACAUUUUCUGCCUCAGACCUAGAAUCAACUACUUCUUCAAAACCCUCUGUGCCACCCUCCCCUCCCCUGGGAGAUGGCACUUCAAGACAGCAUUAGAAUGGGGAACGCUCACUUGGACUGGGUGAUCAUUGCUUUAAGGUUUUCACAGAACACAUUCGUCCAUGUCUAUAUCUAGCUUUCUACCUACCUGUCACACACUCUCCAAUAUUGAACAGUGUGUUUAUAGACCAGCUAACAAAUGAAACGGAAAAGAGAACCAAGGGAAAACCAGCUUAACUAUGGAGCUUUGAUUGACAUUAGAGAGAGGAUUAUAGGUAUAUAGGUGAAGAAGGAACUAUUUAACAUAAUUAAUGCUAGGACAAAAAGGGAAAUUUGACCACUUCCUCACUCCAUACACAAAAAAUCACAUCAGAAGAGAUUGAGGAUUUAAAUAUGGAAGGUGACACUUUAAACUUUUAAAAGAAUACAUAGAAUAAUAGAGGUAGUAAGUUUGGUUUCUGAGUAUCAUCCUCCACUAAAAGGAAAUAGGGAUCCUGGGAGAAAUGGCUGGUUCCAGAGCUGGGUUACAAAAAGACAAGAUGAACCUGUUUCAGGGCUGGGGCCUUCUGGGAAAUCGAGGCAGUGUGAAGACCCCCCUUCAAACCCUGAUUCCUGUCAUCAAGUCAGGAAGGUUUCAGACACGUUGCUCAGGGAACAGGCAUGAGUUCAUCAAAGGGCUAGGAAAAGGGAAAGGGGAUGCUCUCAUGGGGAGAGUGGUCCUCUCAGAGAGGAGAGAGACAGCGUGCCCCUCCAGCACGCCAGUUUUAUUGGGGAUCCCAGGGAAGUUUCCAGAGAGUCCCACCCAGGUCCACCUUUUGACUUUUGGCUGACAGGAGGACAAUGUCAUGUUUUCAAGUCCCCACUGCCACGGCAACUCUACGUUUGGGCCAUGCUGACCAGUUCAAAUUGGACUCUUAAAUUCUUACAGAUUUUAUGAUUAGGAGGAAUUAUCCUUAUCUCCCUAAGUUUGGGGAUCUGGUCUGUGGAAAGCGUCCCCCUUCAAGGUAAUUCGGAUUUCUCUUAGCAACAUUAUUUCAGGCAUUUCUCCUGCAGAUAACAGGUAGUUUUCUAUGGAAUGUGACACAGUCUGUCCACUUUGGCCAGGCAGGGCUGCAGGUGAAUUGCUUCUUGGAAGAGAUAGCAUAUGGGGGUCAGCAGAAUGGACCCAGUUUAUGGAUAUCCCCUGAACCUUGUGUUCCCACCACUGGUGUCUGACUGUCCCCUAUCAAACCAGAAAGUAAGGACAUGCUUAAAAAUAAUGAAAAUAUGUCCAAGGACAAGGGGGUAGGAGGAAAGCCAAAUGGCCAAAUGUGGGACAAUUUGAGCAGCAAAAUAAAACAAUGAGAAAAAUGGAUUAUAACUUAUUGAAUAAUGCCGCAGUCUGGCUGGGCACAAUCAGGAGCCACUUGUCAAAAGAAACUAACUUUAUUUUUAGAACCACACACGCCAAACAAAACAGCCUCUCAGGAAAAACCCUCAGAGCCUCAACUGCCACCACCGGCUUUCCACAAGCCUCUCUCUCCCACACAAGCUUCUCUCAACCUCCCACAAUCCUCCUGCUCUUGAGGCCGAUUGGCUGGGUCAUGUGGGCGGAGCCAAAAAAGUCCCCCAAUGAGCAGCUCCGUGGUCUGAAAGGGCAGGGAAACAGCCCAAUGAGCAUCACCGCAGAGGAGCCAAUCAGCUAGAUGUUGCUGGGGCCGAGGAGCCAAUCAGCUAGAUGUUGCUGGGGCCGAGGAGCCAAUCAGCUAGAUGUUGCUGGGGCCGCUGUGAGCCAAUCAUCAGCCAGCAGCUGGAAGUUUGCUGGCAGCUGGAAGUUUGCUGGGGCCCCUUUGGCUGUGGCUCUCAACAGAAUAAAAUAAAAAUCUAUGCGCCACACUGAUGUAGAUAAAUAAAAUGAGGCAAAGUUCCUCCUCAGAGAACACCAACUAAUAAAUGUAGACAUUGAAAUACAGUUUAAAAAAACAAACCAAAAAAUCUCUCCCUCUUACAGCUGGCACAGUAGUGACUGACUCAAGGAAAGAAGCAUCCUCUGAUGCUCUCUGGUCACCUCCAGACGUACCUCAGCUUACUCCUCACCUCGCUGGUUUAGGAUGACAACUUACUACCCACCAAGUUGUGGGAGUGGCUUUGCAGGGUGAUUCUGGCCUGGCACCUCCUGGAGGCUGCGAUUAGGGGUUGCCUCGCCUGAAGCUGCGAUGUCCCCAGGCUUGCCUGGGGGAGAGGGUCAUCUCCAGUGACUGGCUCCCACAGCUGCUGCAGGAAGGCCCAGGCCCUCACUUUGAGUGCCUGGACCCUCUGGGGAAGUGGUCCAGAGCAAGGUGGGGGCCAACAUGGCUUCCCGUGUGACUGAACCUUAGAGGUGAACUUCAUUAUAUCCUCAACAUCCCUCUGGAUUGGUGUGGGGAGGGGACCCAGGGAUGUAGGUCAGGAUCACUGGCACCAAUCUGGAGAAUGGCUCACAGAUGCUAAAAUUAAUAGGGAAAUUUGAUGAGGGGGAGGAUAUUUAUAGUCUCAAAGUGCCACUCCAUGAAAUAUUAAUUACUAAAGGAAAACAGUAAUUUUACAGUGAGAGACCUGACAAACACACUUAGCCAAGUGAUCAGAAAUUGCAUCACCAAUUACAGGACAAGCUGAUAUCAGGUGCUCUGAGGUGGUCCUCCUCAGGACUUAGGUGCUACUCCUGCCCCAAAUGCAUAACUGAAAUCUACCCAUAAGAAGGCAGCAGAUGACCCUAAAUGAAGGUCAUUUUACAAAAUAUUGCCCUUAAGAACAGCAGUGUGUGGUAGACGGAGAAAGGAUAGACCACUCCAGAUUCAAGGACACUAACUAAUGCUGGGUGUGGGGGCACAUGCCUGAAAUCCCAGCCACUAGGGACCUGAGGCAGAAGGAUCGUGAGUUUGAGGUCAGCCAGGACAACAUAGUCAUACGCUGUCUCAAAAACAAAACAAAACACUAAAGUUAUUCUUCAUGGAUUCUAAAGAAGUAGGACCAGUGAUGAUUUUGAGCUGAAUCUUGAACUGGGAGGAAAUGUUGCUAUUGAGAAUAUUGUUGAAGCAGUUGGAGAUUUUUGAGUAGGAACCAAAGAACCAAUGACAGAUGCGAUGGGCUGGGUGGGUUCCCACUGACUCCCUCAGAGCCAGGUUUUCAAUACUAUGCAGUUUUUUGUGCUGUUGGUUAGACUGUCAGUAACCUGAAAUCAACCGUGGUGAGCUGUUAACCAUGGGAGCCAGCAAAUGCUAAGAACCAGGUCCCCUCUCCCUUCCCGUUGUGCCAGCCUGCCACUUGAUAAUGGCAUUGGGGUAGCGCUCCGUGUCCUCUGCAGACGUCAGGGUGCCGUGUGAAGCCAUGGUCUUAUUCUAAGGGCACACACGUGAGGGCAAAGCAGCUUGACCUCUGCCUCUUACUGAGGUGGUUCAUGAUGCACAGAUAGACCAGUGGAUAGAAAAAGCUAACAUGGCAAAGUUGUGACAAGGAUGAAUCUGGGUAAGGAGCUAUUUGGGGUAUUCUUACGACUUUUCUGUAAAUUUAUUUUUUUUUCCGAGAUAAAACAUUAAAUGUUUCCAGAUUAUUGAGAACAGGAAAGAUAAUUGAUUUGCCCAGAGUCAUGGAGAACAUGGAUUUUUGGUCCAAAACUCUCAUGACGCCUGGAAGUGGCCUUAUUUUAAAGAUAUUCAAAAGUUUUUUUUAAAACUUUCAUGAUAAAGUUAAUGUGUGAACAGCUUUUAGAUUUUGAAAGUAACCUGUUAUGUGUAAACAUUUACAUUAAAAACAACACUGUUUUGUUUCCUUUUUCCUAUUACAGUUGCAAUGUUUCAUUGGCUACAGAAUUUAGAGUUGCCCAGAAGAGCUGAUAGUCACUUGACCAAGGGAGAAAGAAGAAAUGUAUUUGAAGGCAGAGGGAAUUUCAUGUGGAUCAAACAAAAUUUACAAAAUGUCGUCUAUAAAGUUGACAAAUUGCACUUACAUAACACUAAUUAUAGAUGGGGAAUCAUUCUGCAGCAGGUUUUCUCAAAAUAGCUCUACUGACAUCGUGGGCCUGAUCAUUCUGUGCUGUGCAGGUCCGUUCCAGGCAGCAUGGGGCAUCCGGCAGUGCCCUCCCCUCUACCACUGGAAGCCAGUAACCGAGCUCCCCACUCCCCAACCACCACCAAGAAAACAUGUGUCCAGACAUUGUCAGAAGUUCUCUGGGAGGGCAUAACUGUUCCAGUGGGGAAGCACUGUUUCAGAUAUAGAAAAGUCAAAGAAAAAAGAGGAUUGGUAUAUGUUCCUACACACACAUAUAUGAAAGAAAUAUUAAGACAGCAAGAAUUUCAGCGUGCAUGUCCCAAAUUGUGUGUGUAUUUUAAUCUUCUUGUGUAUUGUUUAGAUUCAUUAAUUAAAUCAGUGCAAUAUUCUAUUUCAUACACAUUUUAGAGAAUGAAUAUAUAUAUUUUGGAAUGACAAUAGCACUGGAAGGUGGGGCUGGAGAUGUAACUCAGUGUUAGCCUACAUACUUAGCUGGCUUGUGAGGUCCUGGGUCCGAUCCUCAGCACCAAAAACAUUUUUAAAUGAACACAU
This 11887-nucleotide long non-coding RNA is filed under the name Marmota monax (woodchuck). The record is from RNAcentral. Lineage: Eukaryota; Metazoa; Chordata; Mammalia; Rodentia; Sciuridae.